This 1014-nucleotide ribosomal RNA is filed under the name Mycoleptodiscus alishanensis. RNAcentral describes it as "SSU rRNA". It matches the Rfam family "Eukaryotic small subunit ribosomal RNA", at positions 78 to 1100 of the family's 1831-position model. Lineage: Eukaryota; Fungi; Ascomycota; Dothideomycetes; Muyocopronales; Muyocopronaceae. The record is from RNAcentral.
ACUGUGAAACUGCGAAUGGCUCAUUAAAUCAGUUAUCGUUUAUUUGAUAGUACCUUACUACUUGGAUACCCGUGGUAAUUCUAGAGCUAAUACAUGCUAAAAACCCCGACUUCGGGAGGGGUGUGUUUAUUAGAUAAAAAACCAAUGCCCUUCGGGGCUGCUUGGUGAUUCAUGAUAACCAAACGAAUCGCAUGGCCUUGAGCCGGCGAUGGUUCAUUCAAAUUUCUGCCCUAUCAACUUUCGAUGGUAGGAUCUGGGCCUACCAUGGUAUCAACGGGUAACGGGGAAUUAGGGUUCGAUUCCGGAGAGGGAGCCUGAGAAACGGCUACCACAUCCAAGGAAGGCAGCAGGCGCGCAAAUUACCCAAUCCCGACGCGGGGAGGUAGUGACAAUAAAUACUGAUACAGGGCUCUUUCGGGUCUUGUAAUUGGAAUGAGUACAAUUCAAAUCUCUUAACGAGGAACAAUUGGAGGGCAAGUCUGGUGCCAGCAGCCGCGGUAAUUCCAGCUCCAAUAGCGUAUAUUAAAGUUGUUGCAGUUAAAAAGCUCGUAGUUGAACCUUGGGCCAGGCUGACCGGUCCGCCUAACCGCGUGCACUGGUUCGGCCGGGCCCUUUCCUCUGGGGAGCCGCAUGCCCUUCACUGGGCGUGUUGGGGAACCAGGACUUUUACUUUGAAAAAAUUAGAGUGUUCAAAGCAGGCCUUUGCUCGGAUACAUUAGCAUGGAAUAAUAGAAUAGGACGUGCGGUCCUAUUUUGUUGGUUUCUAGAACCGCCGUAAUGAUUAAUAGGGACAGUCGGGGGCAUCAGUAUUCAGACGCGAGAGGUGAAAUUCUUAGACCGUCUGAAGACUAACUACUGCGAAAGCAUUUGCCAAGGAUGUUUUCAUUAAUCAGUGAACGAAAGUUGGGGGAUCGAAGACGAUCAGAUACCGUCGUAGUCUCAACCGUAAACUAUGCCGACUAGGGAUCGGGCGACGUUCCAAUUAUGACUCGCCCGGCACCUUACGAGAAAUCA